CAGGGAGACAACAACUGAUCGUGAUGUCUGAGUUAUUGAUACUUAGGCCAUGAUCCUGUCACCUUAGGUCGAUCGGUACCUCAAGUUGAGAAUCAAAGAAAAGCUGAUUAAUCAGCUUGGAGAUUGAUGAUUGAUUUUAGUUUCUAAACUUGUCUAGGUCACACCCCGCAAGGGUUACUCCUGGGCCAUUAGCUCAGGUGGUUAGAGCGCACCCCUGAUAAGGGUGAGGUCCCUGGUUCAAGUCCAGGAUGGCCCAUUCGGUGUUGGGGGUUUAGCUCAGUUGGUAGAGCGCCUGCUUUGCAAGCAGGAUGUCAGGAGUUCGAGUCUCCUAACCUCCACUGACCGAACUUGAUUCCCAUCUCCAAUUUUUUUGGAGUUGAGCUCGAUUGGAGUGUGAUUUAGAUGUGUCCGCUGGAUGACCCCAGCUUCCUGUCAUUCCAAAUGAAAUCAGCAAUGUUUGCUUGAUGAAUUUGGUUGAUAAGAUGCUGGGCUCGGAUCAAAUGAUCAAGCAAUUGGUGAUUUGAUUUGAAGUUCUAGCAGAACCUUGACAACUGCAUAGGUGAGUCUGGAAAAAACAAAGCAUCUUACAGAUGCAUUGUUUUGAAUCUGAUCUUCUGAAAGGGAGAUUGGAUCUAGAACAAUGAAAAUUCUUUUGAGCAAGAGCCGAGACUCUUGAGCGUUCUUUGAUUGGUGUCGAGCCAAUCAGAGUUUGAUCUUGUUUUUAGCAAUAAAAACUUGAGAAUCUGCUUUCAACGGCGGUAAGCGUUCAAGAGGUUAAUU
This 780-nucleotide transfer RNA is filed under the name uncultured cyanobacterium. Its description in RNAcentral is "partial 16S-23S ribosomal RNA intergenic spacer". The stretch from base 266 to 338 matches the Rfam family "tRNA". The record is from RNAcentral. Lineage: Bacteria; Bacillati; Cyanobacteriota.